AGGAAGGUGGGUAUGUUAAUAGCAUACUCAUUUGACGUUAGCUGCAGAAGAAGCACCGGCUAACUCCGUGCCAGCAGCCGCGGUAAUACGGGAGGGUGCGAGCGUUAAUCGGAAUUACUGGGCGUAAAGCGCAUGCAGGUGGUUUGUUAAGUCAGAUGUGAAAGCCCGGGGCUCAACCUCGGAAUUGCAUUUGAAACUGGCAAACUAGAGUACUGUAGAGGGGGUAGAAUUUCAGGUGUAGCGGUGAAAUGCGUAGAGAUCUGAAGGAAUACCGGUGGCGAAGGCGGCCCCCUGGACCAGAUACUGACACUCAGAUGCGAAAGCGUGGGGAGCAAACAGGAUUAGAUACCCUGGUAG
Molecule: ribosomal RNA, 357 nt
Filed under: uncultured bacterium
Lineage: Bacteria
Description: bacterial SSU rRNA
Rfam family: Bacterial small subunit ribosomal RNA
Source: RNAcentral